GAUGAACGCUAGCGGGAGGCUUAACACAUGCAAGUCGAAGGGCAGCACGUCUUCGGAUGGUGGCGACUGGCGAACGGGUGCGUAACGCGUAUGCAACCUACCCUCAACAGGGGAAUAGCCCAGAGAAAUUUGGAUUAAUACCCCAUAGUAUUACAGAUUCGCAUGUUUCUGUGAUUAAAGUUCCAACGGUUGAGGAUGGGCAUGCGUGACAUUAGCUUGUUGGUGAGGUAACGGCUCACCAAGGCAACGAUGUCUAGGGGUUCUGAGAGGAUGAUCCCCCACACUGGUACUGAGACACGGACCAGACUCCUACGGGAGGCAGCAGUGAGGAAUAUUGGACAAUGGAGGCAACUCUGAUCCAGCCAUCCCGCGUGCAGGAAGAAGGCCCUAUGGGUUGUAAACUGCUUUUAUACAGGAAUAAACCCCUNUACGUGUAGAGGGCUGAAGGUACUGUAAGAAUAAGCACCGGCUAACUCCGUGCCAGCAGCCG
RNAcentral lists this ribosomal RNA (490 nucleotides) under uncultured bacterium. RNAcentral's name for it is "bacterial SSU rRNA". It matches the Rfam family "Bacterial small subunit ribosomal RNA", at positions 28 to 517 of the family's 1533-position model. The record is from RNAcentral.